AUGAUCAUAUCAUACACACAUAUACAAAUAAACCCAUGAUUAUUCAGGAUGCGAUAUGAUGGGCCCGAUCAAUAAUCUCUGCAUCGCCAUCCGAUCAUGGCUUGGCCAUCGGCACCUCGGGGUAAUGGCUCUCAGGCUUCGGCGGCUGUUCAUGCUCCGGCACCUCGGGGUGGUGCGGCUCUUCAGGCUUCGGCAGCUCCGGCACGACGGGGUGCGGCGGCUCCUCGUGCUUGGGCAGCUCCGGCACGACAGGGUGCGGCGGCUCUUCGUGCUUAGGCAGCUCCGGCACGGCGGGGUGUGGCGGCAGCUCAGGUUUGGGCAACUCCGGCACGGCGGCGUGUGGCACCUCCGGCUUUGGCAGCUCCGGCACGACGGGGUGUGGCGGCUCCUCGUGCUUGGGAAGCUCCGGCACGGCUGGGUGCGGUAUCUCCGGCACAGCUGGGUGUGGCAGCUCCGGCACGGCAGGGUGUGGUGGCUCCUCGUGCUUGGGAAACUCCGGCACGACGGCAGGGUGCGGCGGCUCUUCGUGCUUGGGCAACUCCGGCACGACGGCGGGGUGUGGUGGCUCUUCGUGCUUUGGCAACUCCGGCACGACGGGGUGUGGCGGCAGCUCAGGUUUGGGAAGCUCCGGUACGACGGGGUGAGGCGGCUCUUCGUGCUUGGGCAACUCCGGCACGACGGGGUGCGGCGGCUCCUCAUGCUUGGGCAGCUCCGGCACGGCGGGGUGCGGCGGCACCUCCGGCUUGGGUAACUCCGGCACGG
Molecule: long non-coding RNA, 762 nt
Filed under: Oryza sativa (Asian cultivated rice)
Lineage: Eukaryota; Viridiplantae; Streptophyta; Magnoliopsida; Poales; Poaceae
Description: long non-coding RNA (OSAT_LNC001399)
Source: RNAcentral